Molecule: long non-coding RNA, 377 nt
Organism: Oncorhynchus tshawytscha (Chinook salmon)
Lineage: Eukaryota; Metazoa; Chordata; Actinopteri; Salmoniformes; Salmonidae
Source: Ensembl
CCACAAGGUUAGUUAUACGAGACUGUGUGUGUCUGUGUGUGUCCCCACAAGGUUAGUUAUACGAGACUGUGUGUGUCUGUGUGUGUCCCCACAAGGUUAGUUAUACGAGACUGUGUGUGUGUGUCCCCACAAGGUUAGUUAUACGAGACUGUGUGUGUGUGUCCCCACAAGGUUAGUUAUACGAGACUGUGUGUGUGUGUGUGUCCCACAAGGUUAGUUAUACGAGACUGUGUGUGUGUCUGUGUGUCCCCACAAGGUUAGUUAUACGAGACUGUGUGUGUGUCUGUGUGUCCCCACAAGGUUAGUUAUACGAGACUGUGUGUGUCUGUGUGUCCCCACAAGGUUAGUUAUACGAGACUGUGUGUGUGUGUGUGUGU